Molecule: long non-coding RNA, 1779 nt
Organism: Cervus elaphus (red deer)
Lineage: Eukaryota; Metazoa; Chordata; Mammalia; Artiodactyla; Cervidae
Exons: 3
Source: RefSeq, a predicted model, not a curated record
UUACUCUUCACCUCAGACAGAACGAAAGUAAACGAUCUUAAAGCACAGAUUUCAGCAGGAACCCAGGAAACAGACGAAUGAAUCACCAGGCCCCAAGGACCCUCAGGAGGAAAAAUUGGGCCACUCUGACCAGAUCAUGCUUCUACCUUCCUUCCCACCCUGGUGAUUCAGAGAUGCAUCAGAACGACUCCUAGGCAGAGGAGCUCAUGCACUAGCUCUGAGAAGCGACAGCAGCGGCAGUGCCUGUUUGUGGUCGAGGACGGGGUGCACUUGGCGUGAACAGAAUCCUCCAGACAGUUCACCAAUGCCCUGCUCAGCCAUCCAUCCCCCAGGCCCUGCCCCAAGGGCCCAAUCCAACGUGAGCCAGCCUGGUUUCCUUGACACUUCAGCGGUCUCGGCAUCCACACCAUAGCAAAUGGAACAUGUAUUUUUAAUGAAUGAGACAAGCCCCAUGCUUUUAAUAGGGCAAAAGGGGGAAACACUUAGCCACAGACAUGGAAUGGGCUUUACUCUCCCGGCAGUUCUUCCAGAGACAAGAGGGUGAGAGGCAAUCAAAGCAAAAGAGAGAGGAAACCCAUCCUGCAUCACCCCAUGCAGCCUUCAGCUGUCCUCAGACUCUGCACCUGAGCCCCUGGGAGCCCGGAUAAAGGAUGCAGAAGGCACGACAGAGGCCCAGGGCACCCACGGAAAGAACAGCACUCUGGGUGCCCAUCACGGCACAAUCGGAUCCACCAUUUAACUUCUCUGAAAUUGUUUCCCUACAAAAUAAACACGCCCUGCCUGCUUCAUUGGAUGGCUGUGAAGGACAAAUGGGAUCAGAACCAGGAGAGGGUCAGGCAAGCCCAAUGCUCCCUUCCGUGGAAAGGUGAGCCCUCGGAGGCCAGGGCAUAGGAAAGGCUAGGAGGGCCCCGAGGAGGUGAGUGGGCCCACCUCCCCCUCCCACCCAGGCUGCUCCUGCCACAGGCUGAAGUGCCCCCCACAGAGAUCAAAGGUUGACGUCCUAACCCCCAGCACCUCAGAAUGUGGCUGAAGUCUUUAAACAAGUAAUCAAGGUCAUCGAGGUCAAGUAAUCAAGAAGUGCAAACAGGGUCCUGGGGGCGGGCCCCAACCCAAUAUGCCAGUGUCCUCAUAAGGAGAGGAGGCUAGGGCACGGAUGCACACAGAGGGAAGACCUGUGAAAGGCUCAGAAGAAGCCAAGGGGGGAGGCCUUAGGAGAAACCAACUUGCCGACACCGCCACCCCUGACCUCCAGCCUCCAGACCUGGGAGGAAAUGUAUUUCUGUUGUUUAAGCUCCCUGUCUGUGACACUUUGUAACAGUCACCCUGGGAACAGAUACAGACCUGACCUUCUGGCCCCAGGUGCUGUCCCACAGCACUGCCGACUCUGCUAAGCACUCAGGAUGCCUGGUCACGGCGUGCUCCCAUCAGUCAGGCCAGGACGCUCUCAGUGAAAGACGCCCACUGCAGGGGUGAUUUCUGUCCCACCACUAAGACAUCCGGGAGAGUGUGUCCUGUGUAUCUCAGACAAGGUGCCAAAGGGGGUCUCAGAUAUGUGUCCUCGUGUAGCUGUCAGUAUCAUCUGGGGAGACUGAUCAAAAUGCAGACUCCUAAAACAAAACACACAGCUACCAACUGGUGUAAUCCAACUCCUGGUCAUAUACCCGGAGAAAACCAUAAUUUCAAAAGGUACAUGCACCCCAAUGUUCACAGCGGCAUUAUUUACAAUAGCCAAGACAUGGACACGACCUGAAUGUCCAUCAACAGAGGAAUGGAGAAAGA